Molecule: ribosomal RNA, 253 nt
Filed under: uncultured bacterium
Lineage: Bacteria
Description: partial 16S ribosomal RNA
Rfam family: Bacterial small subunit ribosomal RNA
Source: RNAcentral
UACAGAGGGUGCUAGCGUUGUUCGGAAUCACUGGGCGUAAAGCGCGUGUAGGCGGUUUGACAAGUCAGAUGUGAAAUCCCGGGGCUUAACCUCGGAACUGCAUUUGAAACUGUCAGGCUAGAGUACGGUAGGGGAUAGUGGAAUUCCUAGUGUAGAGGUGAAAUUCGUAGAUAUUAGGAGGAACACCGAUGGCGAAGGCAGCUAUCUGGGCCGUUACUGACGCUGAGACGCGAAAGCGUGGGGAGCAAACAGG